CCUACGGGCGGCAGCAGUGAGGAAUAUUGGUCAAUGGGCGGAAGCCUGAACCAGCCAAGUAGCGUGCGGGAUGAAGGCCCUACGGGUCUUAAACCGCUUUUGCACGGGGAUAACACCCUCCACGUGUGGAGGUCUGCAGGUACCGUACGAAUAAGGACCGGCUAAUUCCGUGCCAGCAGCCGCGGUAAUACGGAAGGAGCGAGCGUUAUCCGGAUUGAUUGGGCUUAAAGGGAGCGUAGGCGGUCGUUAAAGUCAGCUGUAAAAUCGCGCGGCUCAACCGCGCCCCGCAGUUGAAACUGGACGCAUUGAGUGCACAACAGGGAGGCGGAAUUCGGGGUGUAGCGGGGAAAUGCAUAGAGAUCACGAGGAACCCCGAUGGCGAAGGCAGCGUGCCGGGGUGCGACUGACGCUGAGGCUCGAAGGUGCGGGUAUCAAACAGGAUUAGAUACCCUUGUAGUC
RNAcentral lists this ribosomal RNA (459 nucleotides) under uncultured bacterium. Its description in RNAcentral is "partial 16S ribosomal RNA". It matches the Rfam family "Bacterial small subunit ribosomal RNA", at positions 338 to 795 of the family's 1533-position model. The record is from RNAcentral.